GAUAUGAAUGGGAUUUUAGCACAUUAAACUAAAAAGAUGUGCAGAAAUUUGCAGUUCUACGGGGAUUAUGUCAUAAGGUGGGAAUUGAGCUAGUUCCAAGGGAUUUUGAUAUGGAUUCUCCAUACCCUUUCCAAAAACUUGACGUUAUUAGCUUGGUACCAGUGCAUAAGCAAGCAGCAUGCUCAUCUGCAGAUGGACGACAACUUCUAGAAUCAUAAAAACA
This is a long non-coding RNA of Vitis riparia (riverbank grape), 223 nucleotides long. RefSeq lists it as uncharacterized. The transcript is spliced from 3 exons. The record is from RefSeq and is a predicted model, not a curated record. Lineage: Eukaryota; Viridiplantae; Streptophyta; Magnoliopsida; Vitales; Vitaceae.